Molecule: ribosomal RNA, 489 nt
Filed under: uncultured bacterium
Lineage: Bacteria
Description: partial 16S ribosomal RNA
Rfam family: Bacterial small subunit ribosomal RNA
Source: RNAcentral
AUUGAACGCUGGCGGCAGGCCUAACACAUGCAAGUCGAACGGUAACAGGAAACAGCUUGCUGUUUCGCUGACGAGUGGCGGACGGGUGAGUAAUGUCUGGGAAACUGCCUGAUGGAGGGGGAUAACUACUGGAAACGGUAGCUAAUACCGCAUAACGUCGCAAGACCAAAGAGGGGGACCUUCGGGCCUCUUGCCAUCGGAUGUGCCCAGAUGGGAUUAGCUAGUAGGUGGGGUAACGGCUCACCUAGGCGACGAUCCCUAGCUGGUCUGAGAGGAUGCCCAGCCACACUGGACCUGAGACACGGUCCAGACUCCUCCGGGAGGCAGCAGUGGGAAUAUUGCACAAUGGGCGCAAGCCUGAUGCAGCCAUGCCGCGUGUAUGAAGAAGGCCUUCGGGUUGUAAAGUACUUUCAGCGGGGAGGAAGGGAGUAAAGUUAAUACCUUUGCUCAUUGACGUUACCCGCAGAAGAAGCACCGGCUAACUCCGUG